Molecule: unclassified non-coding RNA, 243 nt
Filed under: uncultured fungus
Lineage: Eukaryota; Fungi
Description: sequence contains ITS2
Source: RNAcentral
AAUGCACAUUGCGCCCCUUGGUAUUCCGAGGGGCAUGCCUGUUCGAGCGUCAUUACAACCCUCAAGCAUUGCUUGGUAUUGGGCUCCGCUGCUCACCCAGCGGGCCUUAAAAUCAGUGGCGGUGCCGUCGAGGCCCUGAGCGUAGUAAAUAUCCUCGCUAUAGGGACUCGGUGGACGCUGGCCAUCAACCCCCAACUUUCUAAGUUUGACCUCAGAUCAGGUAGGGAUACCCGCUGAACUUAA